RNAcentral lists this transfer RNA (79 nucleotides) under Fusarium proliferatum. It matches the Rfam family "tRNA". Rfam says of the family: Transfer RNA (tRNA) molecules are approximately 80 nucleotides in length. Lineage: Eukaryota; Fungi; Ascomycota; Sordariomycetes; Hypocreales; Nectriaceae. The record is from RNAcentral.
GGCGCAGUGGCAGAGUGGUCUAAUGCGAUAGACUAGAAAUCUAUUCUCUGUCUGUUCGAAUCAGGCCAGGCCUGCGUCG